Molecule: long non-coding RNA, 3513 nt
Organism: Cuculus canorus (common cuckoo)
Lineage: Eukaryota; Metazoa; Chordata; Aves; Cuculiformes; Cuculidae
Exons: 3
Source: RefSeq, a predicted model, not a curated record
CUUCUGCACAGCCUUUCUUGUGUGACAAGUUUAUUGGAUAAAUGCAUUACAGCGUGUCUUGGACAAAGAAGAGUAAAGGUCAGAGACUGUUUUAGCAAAGUAAGUCUUUUCAGUGCCCAGCGACUUUAUCUCAGGAUUGAAUUGUGUUCCCAGCAGACGAGCAGCCAAAUCACGUAAAAUCACCGCUAGACUUGAAAUUAAUUUCUAAUUUUGCUGCCAGCCUUCCAGCAGAGAAGUCAGGCUGACAAGUAACGGUAAGGAUGAGAAUACCUCCUGGCAAGGCUGGAGGUGUAGUGGGGACACAGACCAGGGGGAAGGCCAAAUGUGGCAGAGCAGCAGGUGGUUUGCAUCUCUGCUUUUCAAAAUACGGAUAUUUGGUGGUCAGGCAGAGGACUUCAGCCUUCUGGGUGCUGCUGGAGUGGCACCAUUUGCAAGUACAAGAACUGCUCCUGGGUCUCCCCUGUGAGACGUGAUUCAUGGGGAGCAAACAGCUCAGAAAGAGACCAUCACUAUGAGAGAUGGCAAACAGCACAGAGCCAGGCUGCCUCUCCCUGCUUGCCAGGUGCCUCAGUAAAGCUGCGGGUAACUCCAAGCAGGACCAGACCAGAGACCCCAUGGAGCCAGACUGGCAAAAGCACACAAUGCUUCCUGACCAGAGCAGGAGUAGAGUUCAGUUGACAGGGUGACUUACAGAACUGGUUUUGAGGCACGUUAUUACGAAGGCAGGAGGGGUGAGGAAUACGAGUUUGAUAGAGUACUGUAAAAGAUAAAAUAAGCUUGAGGGUGCUGAUAAAUAUUACUCUUUAUCUGCAUGUACUAGGAAACAAAGCAAAAAUAUUCCCGUGUUCCCUUUCCUCUACUACCAGCUUCUUUGUUUGGACAGUGUCAGACCAUUUGUGGGUGGAGAAAUUUUGCUUGCUGAGGAAAAUCAAGGAGGAGACAUUUAGUUUUCCUAGGUCCCUGGGCUGAAGCUUGUUCUCGCUGAUUUUAAGGAGGAAACCCAAAUGUUAUGUGGAGAUCUUUGCUCCAGUUAACCAUACAAGAAACAACAACAAAAGCAGAAACUCUUGCAGUCUGCAAUAUCAGAAAAUUUGCUUGAAAAACAAUAGCAAUUUGAGUUACUGAAGGCAAUGAAAUAAUUGCUGGGGGGGGUAGGCAAUUCCUUUUGCACAUUUUAUAUUCCUAUGAAAUUAGCCACUAUCUUUGCAGGACAUUUUUCCAUGUGAUUAAUUGUGCUGCCCCAAAUCAGACAUAAUGAUGCACUGCUGAUACUGAAGAAAUGUUAUUUACCUUCACAUCACAAUUGCUGAAUGUCUGACUGUCAUUUUAUAAGAGAACUAAUCCCAGGAAAGUCUGGAUAAGUGAUAUCACUUUCAGGUAACAAGCACAGGGAAAAUUUAUGUUCAGAUAAAGCCUGAUCCUAUGAUAUAGAAUCUCAGCAGGUUUUCAUCGUUCAUCAUAGCAUAUUAGAGAAACACUGCAGUGCUGUUGCAACAACUUGCCUCAUUAUUCCCUCUCAGUCCUGCAAUCUUCCUUCCUUCUCUCCCAGUUCCACUCUAUCUUUGGCUUACUAUCUUCUUACCUUCUUGCCUGUAACCUCUUGAACUUGGAUCAGUUUUUCCAGACUCAGCAGAUGUAGGGCUGGUACACAAUCAUUAUUUCUGGAUUAAUCAAACACUGCAUCGAUCCUGAUGCACCCCCCCCACCUCCUCUUACCACCUCUCCAACCACUGCAUCUGACACAACCUCCCCAGCUCUUCUUAUAUGUUGAUCCUUCCUAAAAUUUCCACCUUUCCUACAUGCCAUUUCUGACUUCAUUUGCUGUCCUUUCUUGUGGCCCUGAGGAUGCUAGUAAGGCACCUCAUCCACAUUUUAGGGGAAGACUCUCUGGAGGUGGGGCAGAAAGGGAUGUAAGGCUUUGUACAGGAUGGCUAUACCACAUGGAGAAACAAUUUUACCAGUUGCAUUUGAAAUCGAAUUUUCCAGCAGGUGGACCAAGUGGGUAACAUAACAGUUACUUUUUAGGGAUUUGGACUACAUCCUCACACAGAGUUGGGAACUGUGGGAAAUUUCAAAACACAGAGGCUCUUUUUCAUGGCUGCCUUGGAUCAGUGGCUUAGUAAGAAGAGGACAAGACAGAAUGCUUUACUCAACUCUGAGCGAAGGAGAUUGUUCCCCAGGUGCUGUCAACACUGGUGCCCAUUGGCACACAGGCACUGGCAGCUCCUGUUCUUGGAGGAUAAAUUACUCCUUUAAUUUCUGCUCACUUCACAAAAGCCUGACUCGACUCCCAGCAUCAUUCAGGGCAUUGUGGCAGGUGCAGUCCCGCAGACAUGAUGCGCUGCCAUCUCCCCUCUCUCUGCCUGCUUCUUGGGUGUCAAGAGCAAUCAUUUCUCACAUGGCUGAAAUACCCAGCUGGGAGCACAGGGGCAGGUUUAGGGGCUGUUAGAGGGAAGGCACUGAGGCAGGUGUAGCAAGUGACAGAUUUUCAUGUAUGCCUGCUGAAGCUCUGUUAAUGCUUCACACGUGGAGUUUGAUACUGUAAUGGAAAAAUCAAUGCCAGGAUCACACUUUCACCACAUAUGUAAUAGCUUCUUGCGUGCAUCAUUAAUUACAUUUCUUGGCUUCUACCCCUAGGCUCACAAUGUUUUUCCUGCAGCUUUUUGUCAUUGUAUAUUAGUGAUUUGCAGAAGCUGAGCCUCAAAUAAAAAGUUGGGUUUUUUUCUUUUAAUACAGUGCUCAAUUACAUGCAAUAUAUGUGCAGUAAUCUGAGCUGUACCAGAUGAAUUAUCAGCCACAGUGGGUGAAAUUCUCUAGACAGAUGGUCAGAUUGAAUGGUUCAUGUAGUCUCCUUUGGCCCAAAAUCCACUAAUACUGGAUCAAGCUCUAUGCAGAGAGAUGCCCAGAGCCCAUCUCUUCUGAUUUCUAACUUCAGACCCCUCCUCAGGAGCAGAAGGCACCAACCCAGCUCGGGCUCUCAGCUCUGACACGCCAGCAGUACUGCCAAGAGGCUGCAUGUCUCAGGGAAGCCCAGUGGUCUGGCCUGCCAAACGAAGUGUAGUGGUUUGGCCAAAUGGGCCUCCAAUCUAUUAACUUCAUUUGACAACUGAAGGUCAAUUUCAAUAAUACUUAUAAUGCACCAUGCUAUAUCUGGUAAAAAGUAAUGAUGUCUUGGCUAAUGCAUCAUUUAAUGCUGUUAAAUUUUUGCUGAAACUGCUAGACUGUUUUUUUUUUCUUGUUUGUUUUUUAACAGCCUGAACAGCUUGGGUUUUCUUCAGUGAAACAGAGAGAUAGAUCCUGCUAGAAUAAUGUGUAAACAUAUAUUCUGAAGCUGAAAAAUGUCAUUAAGUUAGUCUUUGCAGUACAAACCAGUCCAGAGUGAAGGGGGAAGCAAAGCACUCCUGUUCCUCAGAAGAAGCCAAGUACUUACAAGCAAGGCUUUCCAGAAUGAAGUGUGCUGAGAGAAGGGAAGCAGCAUGGGGAACCAGAAUACAUCAGAGGCCACAUACCGAG